Molecule: non-coding RNA, 24 nt
Filed under: Arabidopsis thaliana (thale cress)
Lineage: Eukaryota; Viridiplantae; Streptophyta; Magnoliopsida; Brassicales; Brassicaceae
Source: RNAcentral
AACAGUUGCUUAACCAUUUGCAGC